RNAcentral lists this transfer RNA (68 nucleotides) under Pseudomyrmex dendroicus. Its description in RNAcentral is "tRNA-Ala". Lineage: Eukaryota; Metazoa; Arthropoda; Insecta; Hymenoptera; Formicidae. The record is from RNAcentral.
UAGAUAUUAGUUAAAAUUAUAACAUUUAAAUUGCAAUUAAAUAUUGGAUUUUUAAUAUAUUCAUAUCU